RNAcentral lists this long non-coding RNA (316 nucleotides) under Salvia miltiorrhiza (redroot sage). RNAcentral describes it as "long non-coding RNA (SMIL_LNC003645)". The record is from RNAcentral. Lineage: Eukaryota; Viridiplantae; Streptophyta; Magnoliopsida; Lamiales; Lamiaceae.
NCCUCAAAUUCCCAGCGAGUAGCAGCCACCAAGCUGCCACCACCGCCGCCCAUUUCCCUUCUGUUCUUACUCAGACGGCAGCAACGAGCCACCGCCGACUCUACCCGAUUCUGACUUCUCACUCACAAAAACAGCAGCCCCAACAUCAAAACGAAGUUUUAAGACAUCAUAUUCAAUUAUUCAUGCUUUCUUAUGCAUAUGCACAGAUUGUAUCUAUAUAUAUAAUUAUGCGAAUACAUAUGUAUGCUCGUGAUGUAGCUCUACUGUCAUUUUAAUAAAGAUGGCAAAUAAUGUGAGAAUACAAUUUAUAGAGUAG